ACGUCUGAAGAGAGAAAAUGGAUGAUUUUCGAAUUUAUUCCAAUGUUUUUACCAGCUCGAGUGAGGUUAUUCCCGAAGGUGGUUUUGCACCUGCCGCGUAGCCCAGAGCCAAUAUUUUCCAGAUUUGGUUGUUUUUCCAAAAUUUCACCGGAAUUUCAUCGAAAUUUGGUCCAAGGGCCGUCGCAGUAUCGGGAGGCGUUGAUUUCCCUGAUUUUAUCGUGCCCCGCGGCAAAUAGUUUUUUCUCCCAAAUAUCCGAUGGACUUUUCGUCCGGAAAACUGACACAGCAGGAUUGACGUGCAUUCGGAGCCUCGGUUUGGUGAAAGACUUUUUUUCACAGUUGAAAAUUCAGACGCACGUUAUUAACUCUUGUAAUCGAGCAAGCGAUAGAAGCGUUAUCGGGACUGGUCUUGUUGCGUAAAUUAGCGACCUUUCGCAGGCGAAGAUCUACGCGAGGACGGUCGUCGGAGCGGCGCGUGGAUAUCGGCGACGAAAGCGAGCGAGCGAUACUCCUCGACGAUGAGUAACUCCGUCGGAGAUAAUGGGAGUGAGGACGAAUUAGAAAUGGGAUCGAAGAGAGUCGAGCGAGAGUCAGGGGAUCGAUAGAUCGCCGUUGCCAAGUGCCCCAGGAGGGAGCGCGUGCGAUCCCGGUGCUGGGAGGAUGACGCCGCGGGUCACCGGGUCUCAAGAUAACAUCGAGAAGCGUCGCAUCCUUCCGAGAAAUUGAAAUCGGCGCUGCCAGCUAAAAAAUUGUUGCAAUCGUUUUUGUAUCUCUCCGAUUCGGCUCCAGACACCGCUUUAGGGAUUCUUCGGAGACGCAGCGCCCCAGCGGUCCGGCCUCGUCGCCACUCUCCGCCUACUGCGCAGCUCGAUCUCUCGGCCCCGGAUCUACCGUGCAGCUCCCACUACUCUCGUCGCCCUGAGUCGUUGUCCCCGGAGCUCUGCGCCGAGUUCCGUAACCCUCUUGAGGCUCCGCAUUCAUGGGAAUUGGAAGGCGGAAAAAAGGCAAUGAAUUUUACAAGCUUUUUCGGCUUAUUAGGGCCGCCGGGCCAGGCUCUAAAAGUUUCGACUUAGACGACUCGGCUACCAUAAUUCCUCGCGGCUUGAGCUUCGCCUCAGGACAGAUAAACUGUGACCGUUGACCCGAUGACGAACAAUCGAGACGAGAGUCCAAACUUGAUCCAACUUACUCGCCCUCCCAUUGUCACUCACUCCCUCCACUCUUUCUAUCAACGUUUCUAACGGACUCCAUCUCCCUCCGCCUCAUACCGAUUAGUAGCGCUAGUACGCGGGAUCACGUGUGCAAGUAUUCGACGACGGGGAAGACAUUAAUUCGUAUCAUUGGAACUACUCGCUCGGCACGUCGCGUCGCUCGCUCAGCCCCUUCAAAACGAUGAGGAUUAUGAUUGUAAUCGUAUUUUUUUUUUUUUUAUACGAUGUUGAAUACGCUGGGUGGGGUUCGAUAUGCCGAAUAACCCAAUUGGGGAACGCUCGAUCAUGUCAGAUUGGGGAUAAAUUCGAAAUUUUUAUUCUUCAUUGACUGUCUAGCAGAUUUGUGUUCAAUCGAAUGUUCGUUCUUUAAGGAGUUUCGGUACAGACGAUACAAUGUUGCCAUGCUAAU
RNAcentral lists this long non-coding RNA (1620 nucleotides) under Venturia canescens. RNAcentral's name for it is "uncharacterized LOC122407633". Lineage: Eukaryota; Metazoa; Arthropoda; Insecta; Hymenoptera; Ichneumonidae. The record is from RNAcentral.